AAACAGAGGCCCCAGGCUGAGC
RNAcentral lists this unclassified non-coding RNA (22 nucleotides) under Mus musculus (house mouse). RNAcentral's name for it is "oocyte_clustered_small_RNA12359". The record is from RNAcentral. Lineage: Eukaryota; Metazoa; Chordata; Mammalia; Rodentia; Muridae.